UUGCGGGUCUUACACUGCAAUGUCUCGUCCCUUGUGUGGCGUAAUGUGAAAUCAUUGAAAAGCUUGUGUGAAUUGAAGGCUUGGCUUAAUACUGUGUUAUAUCUCAGCUUAUCAUUAUUAAGUAUUUACCAUUUGACGUUAAAAAACAACAAUACUUCACAGAGAUAUCCAAGUAUAACAGAGGCUUCCAUACUGUAGCUAAUGAUCAACAGAGAAUUACCAGCCUUUCUCUGUGUGUCAAGGAGAGCCCUUAGGGAAACGUUCGUGUGCGUGUGUGUGUGUGUGUGUGUGUGUGGUAUGGAAAGAUAUAAUUGCUUAAGUACAGCCUCUCUCUCUCUCUCUCUCUCUCUCUCUCUACGUAUUUUGCCUGUCUGCCCUCGUGUGUGUGUGUGUGUGUGUGUGUGUGUGUGUAUCUCAUUUAUUUAUUUAAGUUAUUUUUCUUCUUCACGCAGAUAGUAAUUGACGAACACAACACACCAUGUGGAGAGAAGCAAGGUGUGGAGUACCCAAACCUCUCACAGUCCAUGCUAGUAGACUCACCCUGCAUGUGGAGAUCUCCCAAAAUGCACGGAGGUUAUUCCAGAGCUGCAGGACAGAGUACUUGAGGCCAUUGGUGAACAGAAAGCUGAGGUUGAACAAAGCCAAGAAUUGAUAGCUGCCCAAGGUGUAAGCAAGAUUCACAAUGAUGAGGUCAUUGUGACGUGUGCAAUGUGUCCACUGGUCUUGGCCUUCCUGACCAAGGCAGCCACACAAAGGAAAUUCCACGUUAUUGUUGCCGAACGUGCCCCUAAAUAUGAUGGUCACCCAGUGGCAAAAGCUUUAUGUACUGCUGGAAUUGAGACAACAUUAAUUCAAGACUCUGCAGUGUUCCCCAUCAUGUCACGUGUCAACAAGGUCAUCAAAGGUCAUCGUUGGCACCGAGACGGUGGUGACCAACGGAGGCAUUGAGACCUUUGUUGGUGCAGCCUCUCUUGCCUCACCACCAAAGUUUUAUUCUGUUCCACUGUAUGUGUGCACUCCCACAUACAAAUUUAGCUUGAUGGGCUGUGAAGAAAUAAGCCACCAAACCACCACUUCUAUUAUCCCAGAGGGAACAAAGUUUUGGCCGUCUGUAAAUACUGCGCUGACUCAGCUAGAUUACGUUCCUCCAGAAAAUGUCACCAGUUUGAUAACUAACA
Long non-coding RNA from Scylla paramamosain (green mud crab), 1178 nucleotides. RefSeq lists it as uncharacterized. The transcript has 4 exons. The record is from RefSeq and is a predicted model, not a curated record. NCBI's taxonomy places the organism in Eukaryota, Metazoa, Arthropoda, Malacostraca, Decapoda, Portunidae.